This 163-nucleotide small nuclear RNA is filed under the name Castor canadensis (American beaver). RNAcentral's name for it is "U1 spliceosomal RNA (ENSCCNG00000007859.1)". It matches the Rfam family "U1 spliceosomal RNA". Rfam says of the family: U1 is a small nuclear RNA (snRNA) component of the spliceosome (involved in pre-mRNA splicing). Its 5' end forms complementary base pairs with the 5' splice junction, thus defining the 5' donor site of an intron. Lineage: Eukaryota; Metazoa; Chordata; Mammalia; Rodentia; Castoridae. The record is from Rfam by way of RNAcentral.
AUGCUUACCUAGCUCUGGAGAUACCAUGAUUAUGAAAGUGGUUUUCCUAGUGUGAAGCUUAUGCAUUGCACUGGAAAUGCUGACCACUGUGAUUUUCCCAAAUGUGAGAAACUAGACUGUAUAAUUUGUGGUACUACAGGACUGAUUUCUGCUCUCCCUUGCG